CCUCAACUACAAUCUAAUCCUUUCAUGUGCCAGUGAAAAAAUGGCCUUUGAGAUAAAAUCCUAAGCAAUUAACAUGACCAUUAGGGUUUGGCCUCAGCUUCCAGCCUAAUGUCUGUUCAUGAAUUGUAAGCUUCAAUUUCAGUAUGACCACAUUCUUUCUUGGUAGUAGUUAACUCCUCACACCUUAAAUUGACUGCUUAACUGAAAACCUCACAUGCUGCACUAGAGAGUAAACUCACUGAGAGCAGAGACUGAGUUUCAUUCCCAGCGCAGUCCCUAAACACGCGUGCAUGCGAGCCCUCACUUCAGUCAUGUCCAAUUCUGUGCAACCCCGUGGUCUGCAGCCCGUCAGGCUCCUCUGUCCAUGGGAUUCUCCAGGCAGGUUCUUUACCACAAGGGCCACGUGGGAAGCCCACCUAAGCAUGCUGCUGCUGCUGCUAAGUCACGUGUCCGACUCUGUGCGACCCCAUAGACACCAGCCCACCACGCUCCCCCGUCCCUGGGAUUCUCCAGGCGAGAACACUGGAGUGGGUUGCCAUUUCCUUCAAUGCAUGAAAGUGAAAAGUGAAAGUGAAGCCGCUCAGUCGUGUCCAGCUCUUAGCGACCGCAUGGACUGCAGCCCACCAGGCUCCUCCAUCCAUGGGAUUUUCCAGGAAAAAGAACUUUGGAGCUUCCCUGAUGGCUCAGUGGUAAGGAAUACACCUGCGAAUGGAGGAGACACGGGUUCAAUCCCUGGUCCAGGAAGAUCCCACAUGCUGCAGAGCAACUCAACCUGUAUGCCACAAAUACAAAGCCUGUGCUCUAGAGCCUGGAAGCCACAACCCCUGAGCCCACACGCCCUAGAGCCUGUGUUCUGCAACAAGAGAAACCACUGCAGUGAGAAGCCCAGCACUGCAACUAGAGAAAAGCCCACACAGUGAUGAAGACCCAGUACAACCAAACAUAGAAAAAUAAUUUUUAAAAAUUUUUUAAAGAAUUUUUGUUCAUCUAGCAAAUCAUUAAGUUACUGAACCACACAUGUGAAAUGGGAUCAGCGUAACCUAU
This is a long non-coding RNA of Bos taurus (domestic cattle), 1044 nucleotides long. Lineage: Eukaryota; Metazoa; Chordata; Mammalia; Artiodactyla; Bovidae. The record is from Ensembl.